GACGAACGCUGGCGGCGUGCUUAACACAUGCAAGUCGAACGGAAAGGCCCUGCUUUUGUGGGGUGCUCGAGUGGCGAACGGGUGAGUAACACGUGAGUAACCUGCCCUUGACUUUGGGAUAACUUCAGGAAACUGGGGCUAAUACCGGAUAGGAGCUCCUGCUGCAUGGUGGGGGUUGGAAAGUUUCGGCGGUUGGGGAUGGACUCGCGGCUUAUCAGCUUGUUGGUGGGGUAGUGGCUUACCAAGGCUUUGACGGGUAGCCGGCCUGAGAGGGUGACCGGCGACAUGGGGACUGAGGUACGGCCCAGACCCGUACGGGAGGAAGCGGGGGGGAAUAUUGCAGAGUGGAGGGGGGCGUGAUGCGGCAGCCCCGGGUGGGGAAUGAGGGCCUUGGGGUUAAAAACAGCUUUGGCCGGAAACGAGGCGGGAGGGAGGGUAAUGAAUAAGAAAGCCCCGGCUAACUAGGUG
This 468-nucleotide ribosomal RNA is filed under the name uncultured bacterium. RNAcentral describes it as "partial 16S ribosomal RNA". It matches the Rfam family "Bacterial small subunit ribosomal RNA", at positions 28 to 507 of the family's 1533-position model. The record is from RNAcentral.